AGUUCGUGUUGUCUCAAAAGAUACUACACAUGUUUGCAUAAGACAUAAAAGAAAUAAGGUGAUUUUUUAGAGAGUGCGGCGGUAUUCUCGCUACGGUGUCUGUGGGCUGAACUAUAAACGGAGAAUUUUGAACAAGGACCAUGAUCGGUGAUAGUAAGAGUCUCUUAAAUUAAAUUGCUGUGACAUAAUUAUGCUAGCACACAUGAGCACUAAACAGAGGCUUAGCUGUUGGGUAUACAGCUAAAUGGUGGGAUUAAACGCAGCCAUGAGCUCUGUACAUACUUGGCGACGCACCGUGGAGAGCGAGAUGAGGACUGCUGAUAUGACCUGGAGUGAUGCCAAGGAGCAAGCGCAAGACAGGGUCAAGUGGAGACAAUUUGUGAGGGCCCUAUGUACCCUAGGACAUAGGGUACCCUAGGACAACAACAACAUGAGUAACGAUAACUCCUCCAUCAAGUGAACCGUAUUCUUAUCCAUAAAAAAAAGAUUUAAUUGAUUAAUUUUUAUCAAUCUCUAAAAGUAGUACAUUUGAAAAGUAAACUUAGAAGGCGUCUUACUGUUUGUCCGUUACAAAGACAACACGUGCUAGCCAUCCGGCACACCUGCUUGGGAAGCGAUUGUGAUAAAUGAAUCCACUUAUAGGGACGUUUACCUUUAUCGAGUUAGAGAGAUGGUCCGAGAUCAAGAUUGUGCAUGAAACUUGUUGGUUCUGUCACUUUACUGUUCCAUUUUGCUUGUUGCACCUUUUCCCUCUCUUCAUUUUGGACCAUUACAGAUUAAAAUUUCGAUGAUGACCAAAACAAUCGAUUGGAAUUUUUCAAUUGUUUUUUUUUUAAAUCUCAUCAUAAAUUUAUUGUUACUGAAAAAUAUAUUAUCAAAAUAAUUAAUUAAUUCCCUUUGACGUAAUGUUGCAGUAAUUAAUAAUCACUGACAACGAAUUGAAUAUCGAAAAUUGUACUCAAUGUGAUUAACGCGAAUUUAAAUCACAUAAUUAAUUAUCAUAAGAGUGAUUAUAUUUUGGUUGUUGUUGUUAUUUUGUGUUAUUAAUCUGCACAUCGAUGUAUAAGUUUAAAUCGUGUUUAACGCUGGUCGAAUCGCAUGAGAAAAUUUAAUAUCUCAAUCGUUUUGUAAUAGUCGCUGUGCAAUUGUGUGAAAUCCAAAGAAUUGUUAAACGGUAGAUAAAGACCGCAUGGAAGUCAGUCUACUGAGUUUCUCGCCGGAUCUUCUUAAUGGGUCGCGUUUCCGAUCCGGUGGUAGAUUCUGCAAAGCACCGCUCUUGCUAGGGCUAGUGUUAGCUGCACCUCCAGUUUGAGCCUCGAGAGUUAACUACACGGUAGGGUAACGCGGAUAUAGCCUCUCAAGGCUAUCAACAUGUGUAGAAAAAAAAUUAUUAAAAAAAAUUGAAUCCUUUCUUUGCUUGCUUUCAAUACUAAUAGUAAAUUAAUAAGUUUU
Long non-coding RNA from Bombyx mori (domestic silkworm), 1452 nucleotides. RefSeq lists it as uncharacterized. Lineage: Eukaryota; Metazoa; Arthropoda; Insecta; Lepidoptera; Bombycidae. The transcript has 2 exons. The record is from RefSeq and is a predicted model, not a curated record.